Molecule: non-coding RNA, 95 nt
Organism: Mycena rebaudengoi
Lineage: Eukaryota; Fungi; Basidiomycota; Agaricomycetes; Agaricales; Mycenaceae
Source: the annotation of a GenBank genome assembly
GACUUAAUAGCGAAGUUGGUAUCAUGUCCACUCUGGUUAGGCUGAGUAUCAGCUGCAAUAUGUGGAAGGCCCUUGUUCAAACCGAGGUUAGGUCC